RNAcentral lists this ribosomal RNA (662 nucleotides) under Orthocladiscus sp. G0149. Its description in RNAcentral is "partial 28S large subunit ribosomal RNA". It matches the Rfam family "Eukaryotic large subunit ribosomal RNA", at positions 656 to 1270 of the family's 3401-position model. Lineage: Eukaryota; Metazoa; Arthropoda; Insecta; Coleoptera; Cleridae. The record is from RNAcentral.
GAAACACGGACCAAGGAGUCUAGCAUGUGCGCGAGUCAUUGGGAAUAACUAAACCUAAAGGCGCAAUGAAAGUGAAAGUCCGCCUAGCGCGGACCAAGGGAAGAUGGGCGGUAUCCUACAAAAGAGAUCCGCCCCGCACUCCCGGGGCGUCUCGUUCUCAUUGCGAGAAGAGGCGCACCAAGAGCGUACACGCUGGGACCCGAAAGAUGGUGAACUAUGCCUGGUCAGGACGAAGUCAGGGGAAACCCUGAUGGAGGUCCGUAGCGAUUCUGACGUGCAAAUCGAUCGUCGGAACUGGGUAUAGGGGCGAAAGACUAAUCGAACCAUCUAGUAGCUGGUUCCCUCCGAAGUUUCCCUCAGGAUAGCUGGCGCUCGUCGCCUACGAGUCUCAUCCGGUAAAGCGAAUGAUUAGAGGCAUUGGGGUCGAAACGGCCUCAACCUAUUCUCAAACUUUAAAUGGGUGAGAUCUCCGGCUUGCUCGAACUAUUGAAGCCGCGAGACACGGAUCAGAGUGCCAAGUGGGCCAUUUUUGGUAAGCAGAACUGGCGCUGUGGGAUGAACCAAACGCCGAGUUAAAGCGCCUAAAUCGACGCUUAUGGGAUACCAUGAAAGGCGUUGGUAACUUAAGACAGCAGGACGGUGGCCAUGGAAGUCGGAAUCCG